Molecule: ribosomal RNA, 484 nt
Filed under: uncultured bacterium
Lineage: Bacteria
Description: partial 16S ribosomal RNA
Rfam family: Bacterial small subunit ribosomal RNA
Source: RNAcentral
AUUGAACGCUGGCGGCAUGCUUUACACAUGCAAGUCGAACGGCAGCGCGGGCUUCGGCCUGGCGGCGAGUGGCGAACGGGUGAGUAAUGCAUCGGAACGCGCCCAGUAGUGGGGGAUAGCCCGGCGAAAGCCGGAUUAAUACCGCAUACGACCUGAGGGUGAAAGCGGGGGACCGAAAGGCCUCGCGCUAUUGGAGCGGCCGAUGUCGGAUUAGCUAGUUGGUGGGGUAAAGGCUUACUAAGGCGACGAUCCGUAGCUGGUCUGAGAGGACGACCAGCCACACUGGGACUGAGACACGGCCCAGACUCCUACGGGAGGCAGCAGUGGGGAAUUUUGGACAAUGGGGGCAACCCUGAUCCAGCCAUGCCGCGUGCGGGAAGAAGGCCUUCGGGUUGUAAACCGCUUUUGUUCGGGAAGAAAUCCUCUGGGCUAAUACCCCGGGGGGAUGACGGUACCGGAAGAAUAAGCACCGGCUAACUACGUG